Molecule: transfer RNA, 72 nt
Filed under: Bifidobacterium aerophilum
Lineage: Bacteria; Bacillati; Actinomycetota; Actinomycetes; Bifidobacteriales; Bifidobacteriaceae
Description: tRNA-OTHER
Rfam family: tRNA
About the family: Transfer RNA (tRNA) molecules are approximately 80 nucleotides in length. Their secondary structure includes four short double-helical elements and three loops (D, anti-codon, and T loops). Further hydrogen bonds mediate the characteristic L-shaped molecular structure. tRNAs have two regions of fundamental functional importance: the anti-codon, which is responsible for specific mRNA codon recognition, and the 3' end, to which the tRNAs corresponding amino acid is attached (by aminoacyl-tRNA synthetases). tRNAs cope with the degeneracy of the genetic code in two manners: having more than one tRNA (with a specific anti-codon) for a particular amino acid; and 'wobble' base-pairing, i.e. permitting non-standard base-pairing at the 3rd anti-codon position.
Source: RNAcentral
CCCUUGUAGCUCAGCGGUAGAGCACUCCUUUUUCUUAAGGAGAAGACGCGGGUUCGAUUCCCGCCAAGGGCU